GAUGGAAGAGGAUUCACAGAACAAGCAGGAUGUGCUGAUUCAACUUCAGAGGAGGAGGAGAGGCCUGUUAAUCCUGCUGUAGUAUCAGAAGCAAAAGUAACCACAGCAAUAACUGUGAGACCCUGAACACAACUGGGACCACAGUUCAGAGACCCUCAGGAUCCUGAGAGCCAGCUACAUAGGAUCAGGAACCACAGCUUUAUCGAGGUAUAAUUGACAAAGAAAAGUUGUAUAGACCGUAGGCGUACAACGUGCUGUUUGGAUAUGAAUACACAUUGUGAAAUAAUCACCACAAUCAAGCUAAUCAAGAGAUCCAUCACCUCACAUAGUUACCAUGCCUUUUUUUUCUUUUUUGUCGUGGGAGCAUGGGAGAUCUGCAGAUCCAGACCUUGGGGGAGGGACGACGAUGAACAUUCUGAUCUAGGGGUGAAGAUUCUGAUCUCCAUUUUCUUGGGGAAGCUCUGAAUCUGAACCCAUGAAUCCAGAUGGUACCAUGUAUAAGCAGGGGCUCUAAGAGCAAAAGCUGAUGCCAACGUCAGUGUCGUAUGUUGCGGUUUGGUACCGUCGGGCUCGCCUGCACGGAGCUCAGCCACCUCGGCCUGAAGGCAGAAGAGCCAGCACUUCCUAUCACGGUGACCGGCGUGUUAAUGGUAUCGAUCCUGCCCUUAUUCUUUCCAGCAUGACUCUCCACCUCUCAUUUCUGUUCUCCCAGAGGCUGCUGUGGUGACAGGAGCAGGUGGCAUGGAGGGUGGAGGGCAGUCAUUAAAAAACAAAACUUCUGAUAAAUGACACAGGAAUAAACUCAUAUAAAGUAAGUAAAAAAUGAA
Molecule: long non-coding RNA, 827 nt
Organism: Lemur catta (Ring-tailed lemur)
Lineage: Eukaryota; Metazoa; Chordata; Mammalia; Primates; Lemuridae
Exons: 3
Source: RefSeq, a predicted model, not a curated record